Molecule: ribosomal RNA, 3086 nt
Filed under: Aeropyrum pernix
Lineage: Archaea; Thermoproteati; Thermoproteota; Thermoprotei; Acidilobales; Acidilobaceae
Description: 23S rRNA
Rfam family: Archaeal large subunit ribosomal RNA
Source: RNAcentral
GGCACCUAUGCCGCCCGGGGGAUGGCUCGGCUCGGGCGCCGAGGAAGGGCGUGGCAAGCUGCGAUAAGCCCGGGGUAGGCGCAGGCAGCCGUCGAACCCGGGAUCCCCGAAUGGGACUUCCCGCUGCGGGUGAAGAGCCCGCAGCGCCCCCGUUUGGGGGCGGGAACCCCCCGAAAGGAAGCAUCUGAGUAGGGGGAGGAGAAGAAACCAACAGGGAUUCCCUGAGUAGGGGCGACCGAAAGGGGGAGAGCCCAAACCAAUCCCCCACGGGAGGACCGUGGGGGGAUGAGGGGUUGCGGCCCUGCGGCUGGGGCUUCGAGCCCCGGCGGGCCGACCCACGGUAGCCGAAGUGGGCUGGAAUGCCCCGCCGUAGAGGAUGAUAGCCCCGUAGGCGAAACCGUGGGGGCCCGUGCCGCAGGGCAGAGUACCACGGCUUGGUAUUGCCGUGGGAAGCUGGGAGGAACCGACUUCCAAGGCUAAAUACGUCCCGAGACCGAUAGCGAACUAAGUACCGUGAGGGAAAGCUGAAAAGAACCCCGGGAGGGGGGUGAAAAGAGCCUGAAACCGGGCGGCGACAUACGGUGCGGCCCGAAAGGGGUGAAACCCCCGAAGGAAACCCGGGCGACCGGGGAGUACGAGGGGGCUGGACCGGGGUCGCACCGUCCGUCUUGAAACACGGGCCGGGGAGUUCACGGCCGUGGCGAGCUUAAGGGGGUCAACCCCGUAGGCGCAGGGAAACCGACAGGCCCGCAGCCGGGGGCGACCCCGGCGAGGGGCGGGGUCCUAAUAGGGCCCGGAGUCACGGCCGUGAGACCAGAAACCGGGCGAUCUAGGCGGGGGCAGGGCGAAGCCGGGGGAAACCCCGGUGGAGGCCCGCAAGGGUGCUGACGUGCAAAUCGCUCCCCUGACCCCCGUCUAGGGGUGAAAGGCCAAUCUAGCCCGGAAGAUAGCUGGUUCCCGCCGAAGUGGCUCGCAGGCCAGCCCCGCCGGAGGCCGGGCCGUGGGGUAGAGCUACUGAUUGGGCGUGCAGGGGGCGUAAAGCCCCCGGCGCCCAGUCAAACUCCGAACCUGCGGCCGCCGUAGAUGGCGGGAGUGGGGUUCCCCGGGGUAAGCCCGGGGGCCGAGAGGGGAACAACCCAGACCGGGGUUAAGGCCCCUAAGUGCCGGCUAAGUGCCAAGCCAAAGGGCGUCCCCCGCCUAAGACAGCGGGGAGGUGGGCCUAACAGCAGCCAUCCUCUAAGGAGUGCGUAACAGCUCACCCGCCGAGGCGGGGGGCCCCGAAGAUUGGUCGGGGCUUAAGCCGGCCGCCGAGACCCCGGGCCGCGGCUCCGAUGGAGCCGCGUGCGGUAGGCGGGCGUCGGGGUGGCGUAGAAGCCGGGCCGCGAGGUCCGGUGGAGCCGCCCCGAGUGCGGAUCCCGGCGGUAGUAACAGCGAAGCGGGGUGAGAAUCCCCGCCGCCGGAAAGGGCAAGGGUUCCCCGGCAAUGGUCGUCAGCCGGGGGUCAGCCGGUCCUAACCGGGACCGUAACACGGAUCCCGGGAAGGGGAAACGGGUUAACAUUCCCGUGCCGCGGGGGUACGCUUCGCGGCAACGCAAGGCCCCACCCCCGACGCCUCGGGGUAGGCGGACCGGGGGCCCCCUUAGGGGGGCGACCCGGCUAACCUGCCGAAGGCCGGGGAGUGCCGUAACGGCGAGAACCGGCCGAAGGGGGGAAUGGCCCGCCUAUGGCGGGUUCCGCCGACCCCUGGGGCCCUUGAAAAGGGGGUGGGGAAGGAUCCCCCGCGCCCGUACCGAGAACCGACACAGGUGCCCCUGGGUGAGCAGCCCAAGGCGUCUGGGGGCUAACCCGGGCCAGGGAACUCGGCAAAUUGGCCCCGUAACUUCGGGAGAAGGGGUGCCUGCGGUCCUGGGGCCCGAACCCUGGGACCGCAGGUCGCAGUGCCUAGGGGGGCCUGACUGUUUAACAAAAACAUAGCUCCCCGCUAGCCCGAAAAGGGUGUGUACGGGGGGUGAGCCCUGGCCACUGGCGGUCCGUGAAACCGGGGUACAACCCGGCGAAGCGCCGCUGAAGGCCGGGAGUAACCCUGACUCUCUUAAGGUAGCCAAAUGCCUUGCCGGGUAAGUUCCGGCGCGCAUGAACGGGUCAACGAGGUCCCCACUGUCCUGGCCCGGGGCCCCGUGAACCCCCUGAGCCGGUGCACAGUCCGGCAUCCCCCCGCAGGGAGAGAAGACCCCGUGGAGCUUUACCGCAGCCCGGCGUUGGCCCCCGGGUGGGGGUGCGUAGCGUAGGUGGGAGCCGAUGAGCCACCCUCUCCGGGGGGUGGGGAGGCGUCCAUGAAACACCACCCACCCCCGCCCGGGGGCCUAACCCCGCCCCGGGUGGGCGGGGGACAGCGUCGGGUGGGCGGUUUGGCUGGGGCGGCACGCCCGCGAAAGGGUAACACGGGCGCCCAAAGGUCGGCUCAGGCGGGUCAGAACUCCGCCGUGGAGUGCAAGGGCAAAAGCCGGCCUGACCGGACCUCUGAAAGCAAGGGGUCCGGCCGGGAAACCGUGGCCUAGCGCACGCUCGUGCCCCCUCGGUGGGGGCCGGGCACGACAGAAAAGUUACCCCGGGGAUAACAGAGUCGUCGCGGGCGAGAGCCCCCAUCGACCCCGCGGUUUGCUACCUCGAUGUCGGCUCUUCCCAUCCUGGGGGUGCAGCAGCCCCCAAGGGUGGGGCUGCCCGCCCAUUAAAGGGGAACGUGAGCUGGGUUCAGACCGUCGUGAGACAGGUCGGUCUCUACCCGCGGGGGGUGUGGGCCGCCUGAGGGGAAGGUGCCCUUAGUACGAGAGGAACGGGGCGCCGCGGCCUCUGGUGUACCGGUUGUCCUGGUGGGCAACGCCGGGCAGCUAAGCCGUAGGGGGUAACCGCUGAAAGCAUCUAAGCGGGAACCCCUCCCCGAAAAGAGGCGGCCGUUGGGCGCCGGCCUGGUGCCGGCGUCCACGAGGGCUCCCGUAGAAGACGGGGUUGAUGGGGCGGGGGUGUGAGCCCCGAGGGGGCUUAGCCCUCGAGGGGUGUAGCCCGCCGCUCCCAAUCGCCCGAGGCCG